Molecule: ribosomal RNA, 444 nt
Filed under: uncultured bacterium
Lineage: Bacteria
Description: SSU rRNA
Rfam family: Bacterial small subunit ribosomal RNA
Source: RNAcentral
AGAACGAACGCUGGCGGCAGGCCUCAAACAUGCAAGUCUAGGGGGCGUAGCAAUACGUCACCGGCGGACGGGUGCGUAACACGUGGGAAUGUACUUACUGGUUCGGAACAACUCAGGGAAACUUGAGCUAAUACCGAAUGUGCCCGAAAGGGGAAAGAUUUAUCGCCAGUAAAUCAGCCCGCGUCCGAUUAGCUAGUUGGCGGGGUAAAGGCCCACCAAGGCGACGAUCGGUAGCUGUUCUGAGAGGAAGAUCAGCCACACUGGGACUGAGACACGGCCCAGACUCCUACGGGAGGCAGCAGUUGGGAAUCUUGGACAUGGGGAACCUGAUCCAGCCAUGCCGCGUGAGUGAUGAAGGCCUUCGGGUUGUAAAACUCUUUCGACGGGGACGAUAAUGACGGUACCCGUAGAAGAAGCUCCGGCUAACUUCGCGCCAGCAGCCGC